This 253-nucleotide ribosomal RNA is filed under the name uncultured bacterium. RNAcentral describes it as "partial 16S ribosomal RNA". It matches the Rfam family "Bacterial small subunit ribosomal RNA", at positions 524 to 776 of the family's 1533-position model. The record is from RNAcentral.
GACGGAGGAUGCAAGUGUUAUCCGGAAUCACUGGGCGUAAAGCGUCUGUAGGUGGUUUAAAAAGUCCACUGUUAAAGGUUGAAGCUUAACUUCAAAAAUGCCGUGGAAACUUUUAAACUUGAGUAUGAUAGGGGUAGAGGGAAUUUCCAGUGGAGCGGUGAAAUGCGUAGAUAUUGGAAAGACCACCGAUGGCGAAGGCACUCUACUGGGCCAUUACUGACGCUGAGAGACGAAAGCUAGGGGAGCAAAUGGG